GCGGGCCUGGCCGAACGGCAAGGCACCGGGCUUCCACCCCGUUCACAUCGGUUCGACUCCGAUGGCCCGCU
RNAcentral lists this transfer RNA (71 nucleotides) under Gemmatimonadaceae bacterium. RNAcentral's name for it is "tRNA-Gly". It matches the Rfam family "tRNA". From Rfam's summary of the family: Transfer RNA (tRNA) molecules are approximately 80 nucleotides in length. Their secondary structure includes four short double-helical elements and three loops (D, anti-codon, and T loops). Lineage: Bacteria; Pseudomonadati; Gemmatimonadota; Gemmatimonadia; Gemmatimonadales; Gemmatimonadaceae. The record is from RNAcentral.